UACGAAGGGGGCUAGCGUUGUCCGGAAUUACUGGGCGUAAAGCGCGCGCAGGCGGCUAUCCAAGUCAGUGGUGAAAGCCCGGAGCUCAACUCCGGAACUGCCAUUGAAACUGUUUAGCUUGAGGAUGAGAGAGGUGAGUGGAAUUCCCGGUGUAGCGGUGAAAUGCGCAGAUAUCAGGAGGACACCGGUGGCGAAGGCGGGUCUCUGGGCCAUAACUGACGCUGAGGAGCGAAAGCGUGGGGAGCGAACAGG
RNAcentral lists this ribosomal RNA (252 nucleotides) under uncultured bacterium. RNAcentral describes it as "partial 16S ribosomal RNA". It matches the Rfam family "Bacterial small subunit ribosomal RNA", at positions 524 to 776 of the family's 1533-position model. The record is from RNAcentral.